Long non-coding RNA from Hirundo rustica (Barn swallow), 1706 nucleotides. RefSeq lists it as uncharacterized. The record is from RefSeq and is a predicted model, not a curated record. The transcript has 4 exons. Lineage: Eukaryota; Metazoa; Chordata; Aves; Passeriformes; Hirundinidae.
UUUUCUAAAGGAAGUGUUCUAGGUAGUGUCCGGUCUGGAUCGGGAAGUGCUUGGGAGCAGCUGUGGCGUGGAUGGGCCGUGCCCUUGGGGAAGGCUGAGGACAUCGUUUGGGAGCAGCUUUUCUUGAGGCAGCAGAUGGCGUGAGCCGGGCUCUGCGGAUGCUGAGGCUGCUCUGGGCUCUGCCAGGGCUCUGCUGGGCUCAGCCCUGGGCACGGCUGGGCUCGCUCUGCCCUCACAUUGCUCUGAGAGCUUUGCACCAGACGAGCCCUUUCCAAGCACAGCGCCUGAGCUUUCUGCUUUUGCAGAAGUGCCACGAGUGGGCGAAACCUGGCGAGUGGGCCGUGUUCCUGAGACAGUGCGGUCUGGAGUUAAUGGCUGAAGAAUUGCCCUUCUGCACUUGUAAACCAGAGCAAAAAGCUAUAACGUUUUAUAAAAGGAAUGUCCUUUGCUGCUGGUUCCCAUGUGGAGCAGCUCCCUUCCCGCUGGCUGAGCUGCUCAGGGAGAGCUUGGCAGCUCCUGGCCCUGCAGGGCUGAGGCUUUUCCCCGUUGCUGAGCACAGACUGAUGGAGCAGCACUGCUGAACAUGAGGACACCCAGAGGGAGCAGAAGCAGCUGCCUUUGUCCACCUGAAGCUCCAAGGCCCAAACUCUGAGCACACAGGGCUGGAAGAGACUGGCAGGCUCCCUGUUUGCUGUGCUGCCCCACUUGUGCCCGGCCCAGCUCUGCGUGAGGCUGAGGGAGAACAAGGGGCAGCUCCCUGCCAGCCCCAGCCCAGGGACCCCUCCGGCCCCAGGGCUUGGGGCGCUGUCAGCACCCGCUGCUCCAGCCACCGCUUCUGCUGGCCCUGACAGCAACAAGCAAAUUGUGGCUGAUCCCCAGGGAGCAGCAGCAGUGCCUGGAUCUGAUCCCUCACUCUGGCGCAGGGCUGGACAAAGGACCCCCACAGCAGCAGCAGCACAUGGAGCUGACUUUCAGCACAGCCCCUGCCACUGUUCCCUCCCGUGUGCACUGGUGUCACAGCAGCCUGAGGCACCUGGGAGCCCUCAGGGCCAGCAGGGACUUGAGAUGGCAGCCCUGGGCUCCUGGGGGUUGUGCAAGGAACAGAGGUGGGGGCUCCUUCUCCACCUAGAGCUUCCAGAUGGAAAAGGCUGCUGUGAGCAGGCAGCUCCAAGGGCAGAGAAAGGAGGGUCUGGACCUCUGGAUCUGUGCCAGUUCAGCAUUGCUGAGCCUCUCCUUUUGUGCUCCUUUCCUGCUUUGAACCAGAGUAAAUGACACUGAUUCCUUCAGGUGGUGUGUGUGUCUUUGGUGCUGACCCUGCCCACUGGUUAAACAACACUGGCACAGUCUGGCCAGAUCACACCAAAAUGUCUCUUUUUCAAUGUAAAUGUGAGGAACCAGUCCCCUCCAAAAUUCUGGGAUGGGAAGACCUUCUCUAGAGGUCACUGGCUCUGGAGUGGACUGAGGUCUGAGCACUCUGCAAGCCAUGGGGGAGUCGCUCCAAAGAAGCUGAAGCACUGGAUGUAUUAAAAUGCAUCCAGAAAUUGCAUAUGGAGAAAGGGAAAGAACUUGUGGGUUUGGAAGAAAAAGCUGAAUUUUGUUUAAGAGCACAUUGGAAACAGCACUAACAGAAGGAACAAUUCUUGUUGGAACCCUGCAACAUGGAGCGACAGAAGAAGGUUUUAAUCUUGAGCUCAGAUGCAUUUGUG